RNAcentral lists this ribosomal RNA (468 nucleotides) under uncultured bacterium. RNAcentral's name for it is "partial 16S ribosomal RNA". It matches the Rfam family "Bacterial small subunit ribosomal RNA", at positions 28 to 507 of the family's 1533-position model. The record is from RNAcentral.
GACGAACGCUGGCGGCGUGCUUAACACAUGCAAGUCGAACGGAAAGGCCCUGCUUUUGUGGGGUGCUCGAGUGGCGAACGGGUGAGUAACACGUGAGUAACCUGCCCUUGACUUUGGGAUAACUUCAGGAAACUGGGGCUAAUACCGGAUAGGAGCUCCUGCUGCAUGGUGGGGGUUGGAAAGUUUCGGCGGUUGGGGAUGGACUCGCGGCUUAUCAGCUCGUUGGUGGGGUAGUGGCUUACCAAGGCUAUGACCGGUAGCAGGCCUGGGAGGGGGACCGGCCCCGUUAGACCUGGGCUACGACCCAGACUAGAAUGGUAGGCAACGGUGGAGAAGAUUAUACAGGGGACUGGGGGCUGGUGCGAUCACGCAGCGUGGGGGAAGAGAUGCUGCGCGUUGUGAACUGCUUUCGCCUGACACGAGGUGUGAAUGACGGUACCGGGAGAAUAAGCACCGGCUAACUACGUG